CUGCAUAUUUAUAUUGUGGGCUGCCUAAUCUUUGGAGCUCGGAGCCAACUGUCUGCGGUGCUGGUAAAGCUUGGCGCUUUGCUUAUGUUUCAUUUGGUAAAAUCUACAUGUCGAUGUCGGGGCCAAGUACCUGUCCAUGUUUUCAUUUAAUUUGAAACAUUUUCUUUACUUAAAUUACAGAAACACAUGGCUUCUGGCUAGGCGGUUGGGUUGGAUAAGCGUGGCUUGGUUGGGCAUGGCUCGGUGUCACUCGGCUGCGCUUAUCUUUUAUCGGGCCAAACGUCUUUGUUGCUUUCAGUUGUUUGCCGCCAGCCCGAAAUUGGGUGCAAAAAACGUUUUAGACUUGCCCCAAACAAAACAGAAAAACAGGAAAAAAAUUGGUGAAGGUAUGUUUAC
This is a long non-coding RNA of Drosophila arizonae, 396 nucleotides long. The record is from RefSeq and is a predicted model, not a curated record. Lineage: Eukaryota; Metazoa; Arthropoda; Insecta; Diptera; Drosophilidae.